CCUACGGGUGGCAGCAGUGAGGAAUAUUGGUCAAUGGGCGCGAGCCUGAACCAGCCAAGUAGCGUGAAGGAUGACUGCCCUACGGGUUGUAAACUUCUUUUAUAAAGGAAUAAAGUGAGGCACGUGUGCCUUUUUGUAUGUACUUUAUGAAUAAGGAUCGGCUAACUCCGUGCCAGCAGCCGCGGUAAUACGGAGGAUGCGAGCGUUAUCCGGAUUUAUUGGGUUUAAAGGGUGCGUAGGCGGUUUUUUAAGUUAGUGGUUAAACGUCGGGGCUUCACCUUGAUUUGCCAUUAAUACUGUAAGACUCGAGUUCAGACGAGGUAGGCGGAAUAAGUUAAGUAGCGGUGAAAUGCUUAGAUAUAACUUAGAACUCCGAUAGCGAAGGCAGCUUACCAGACUGCGACUGACGCUGAAGCACGAGAGCGUGGGUAGCGAACAGGAUUAGAUACCCUAGUAGUC
Molecule: ribosomal RNA, 459 nt
Filed under: uncultured bacterium
Lineage: Bacteria
Description: partial 16S ribosomal RNA
Rfam family: Bacterial small subunit ribosomal RNA
Source: RNAcentral